RNAcentral lists this ribosomal RNA (445 nucleotides) under uncultured bacterium. RNAcentral's name for it is "partial 16S ribosomal RNA". It matches the Rfam family "Bacterial small subunit ribosomal RNA", at positions 354 to 796 of the family's 1533-position model. The record is from RNAcentral.
GUAGGGAAUAUUGGGCAAUGGAGGCAACUCUGACCCAGCCAUGCCGCGUGCAGGAAGACGGUCCUCUGGAUUGUAAACUGCUUUUGAAUGGGAAGAAACGUAGCUUUGCGAAGCUAUUUGACGGUACUAUUAGAAUAAGCACCGGCUAACUCCGUGCCAGCAGCCGCGGUAAUACGGAGGGUGCAAGCGUUAUCCGGAUUUAUUGGGUUUAAAGGGUGCGUAGGCGGCUUUAUAAGUCUGGGGUUAAAGGCGGCAGCUUAACUGUACGCAUGCCCUGGAAACUGUGAAGCUUGAGUGACUUGGAGGUAGCUAGAAGUCCCUGUGUAGCGGUGAAAUGCAUAGAUACGGGGAGGAAUACCGAUUGCGAAGGCAUGUUACUACGAGUAAACUGACGCUGAUGCACGAAAGCGUGGGGAUCAAACAGGAUUAGAAACCCGUGUAGUCC